AGCCGCUCUCACAGGUUUGUUAUGUAACCGCCGGGCCAGCCCCGCCCUCAGGGUGGGCUGAGGUGCGGCUCCCUGGAGACCCCGCCCGCUAGCCGGGAGCCAGCGGCGCAGUGCGAGUUCAGCCCGCUUUCUUCGCGCUCCGCGUCAAAUCUCUCCAGCUCUGUUCUCGCAUCCCGGGUUUAGAUCCCGCAGAGUUAAGUAUCCCGCGUGUGAAGGGAUGAACUGAGACUCCCAGAGGGCAUAACUGAUGGAGGCACGAAGAUGUCUGCUCUUCAGCUUUGCCAAGAUGGGCCACCUGUUUUAAAUCCAAAAGCUGGUAGGAGUUUCAGGUACACUGCAUUUGCUUCUGCUGUCCUAUUGCACUUGGACUUGGUGCAGCUAUGACCUAAUGCAGAAGACAAAGUAUGAAGCUACCAAACUGUCAGGGCCAGAACUAAGGUUGAACACAUUGUGAGUAGAAGAUCUCUUUCCCCAGGAAAUAGGAUGGAGAGAGUCUUUGGAGAAUGGCCUCACUGAAAUGCUAAGUCAGCUUCCUCCAGAUUUUGAGCUCGGCAAGUUUUUCUUUGUUUUUUGAUACAAACUGAAAGAUGCCUUUGGUUAUAUCUACCCACUGAAAACAAGAUGCCAUCUCUGGAUUACACAGGGAUUCGUGAAGGCUGACAUUUGUCUAUUUGUUAAAAAAUGUACAUGUCAUAUACACCAUGGAAUACUAUGCAGCCAUAAAAAGGAAUGAGAUCAUGUCCUUUGCAGGGACAUGGAUGAAGCUGGAAACCAUCAUCCUCAGCAAACACAGGAACAGAAAACCAAAAACUGCAUGUUCUCACUUAUAGGUGGGAGUUGAAUGAUGAGAAUACAUGGACACAGGGAGGGGAACAUCACACACCAGGGCCUGUUGCAGGGUCGGGGAGAGGGGAGGGAGAGCAUUAGGACAAAUAGCUAAUGUAUGCAGGGCUUAAAACCUUGAUGAUGGGUUGAUAGGUGUGGCAAACCCACCAUGGCACACGUAUACCUAUGUAACAAACCUGCAUGUUGUGCACUUUUAUCCUAGAACUUAAAGUAAAAUAAAAAUAAAAAGAAAAAAAUACAUGUCUAUAGUAUUAAUCUUCCUAAAGCAAUGCUUUCAUCAUGUCAGUCCCUUGCUUUCAAAAAAAUCUGUUAUAGCAUUUUGUUGAUCACAGAGUAUUACCAAACCUCCUUACUUAGCAGUUUAGGCCUUCUGGAAACUUCUAUUUCUUCAACAAACACUUCUUUUUAUUACACAAAUAAUUCAUAGUAAUAUAUAAAGAAAAAAUACUGUGCCUUCCCCAAGUCCCAUGAAAUCUUAGUUGUGUGUUUUCCUCAUAUAAACAUAGACAUAUAAGAAAUGUACAAUGUGGCUGGGUGUGGCGGCUCACACCUGUAAUCCCAGCAUUUUGGGAUGCCAAGGUGGGUGGAUCACCUGAGGUCAGGAGUUCAAGACCAGCCUAGUCAAUAUGGCAAAACCCCGUCUCUACUAAAAAUACAAAAAU
This 1508-nucleotide long non-coding RNA is filed under the name Homo sapiens (human). RNAcentral describes it as "HSALNT0362212". The record is from RNAcentral. Lineage: Eukaryota; Metazoa; Chordata; Mammalia; Primates; Hominidae.